ACCCUCGUGGCUUAGAGGUUAAAGCGUCUGCCUGCAAGGCAGGAGACCUGGGUUCGAUCCCUGGGUAGGGAA
RNAcentral lists this transfer RNA (72 nucleotides) under Bos taurus (domestic cattle). It matches the Rfam family "tRNA". From Rfam's summary of the family: Transfer RNA (tRNA) molecules are approximately 80 nucleotides in length. Their secondary structure includes four short double-helical elements and three loops (D, anti-codon, and T loops). Lineage: Eukaryota; Metazoa; Chordata; Mammalia; Artiodactyla; Bovidae. The record is from Rfam by way of RNAcentral.